AUUGAACGCUGGCGGCAUGCCUUACACAUGCAAGUCGAACGGUAACAGGUCUUCGGAUGCUGACGAGUGGCGAUCGGGUGAGUAAUACAUCGGAACGUGCCUAGUAGUGGGGGAUAACUACUCGAAAGAGUGGCUAAUACCGCAUGAGAUCUACGGAUGAAAGCAGGGGAUCGCAAGACCUUGUGCUACUAGAGCGGCCGAUGGCAGAUUAGGUAGUUGGUGGGAUAAAAGCUUACCAAGCCGACGAUCUGUAGCUGGUCUGCGAGGACGAUCAGCCACACUGGGACUGAGACACGGCCCAGACUCCUACGGGAGGCAGCAGUGGGGAAUUUUGGACAAUGGGCGAAAGCCUGAUCCAGCAAUGCCGCGUGCAGGAUGAAGGCCUUCGGGUUGUAAACUGCUUUUGUACGGAACGAAAAGCCCCGGGUUAAUACCCUGGGGUCAUGACGGUACCGUAAGAAUAAGCACCGGCUAACUGCGUGCCAGCCGCCGCGGUAA
RNAcentral lists this ribosomal RNA (498 nucleotides) under uncultured bacterium. Its description in RNAcentral is "partial 16S ribosomal RNA". It matches the Rfam family "Bacterial small subunit ribosomal RNA", at positions 30 to 523 of the family's 1533-position model. The record is from RNAcentral.